ACUCCAGCCGUGUCGAAACUAAUUAAGGUCACAGAGGUGAAAACACCUGCUAACAGUUAUCCAAUCACUCAGACGCCAUAAAGCAGCGGACGAGUUCCUUCAUGCUGAUGAAGGACUUCUGCAGCAGAGGAUACUUGAAAGGCGUCAGUUGAUGUUCCCGCUCCAUUUUAGCGUUUUACCUUUCUACCAUGCUGAGGCUGAAUGCUUUCCUCAGGCUAACGCUGGCAGGUGUGCUCCCCUCACGAGAGGGACUGGACCAACAUGGACGCUCGAGCUGCUCCAUCUGGGCUUCAUCAAAGACUUUCAGAAACGGCUGCUCCGCUCUGUGCUGUGGAGGAGGGAGAACUGUGAGGUGGUUAAAGUCAGCGCUGCAUAUCGUGCCUGCACUCUGCCGCUAUUCACGGUCUGUUUGCGUGACCGUCUUGGCCCUGUCUGCUCUGUGCAGUAACUUCAGACCCAGUGUCUCCACCAUACUGACUUUAUGUGGCUGCAUCAGACCGUUACUGUCGUCCUUACAGACUGACCACGGUUACUCUGGAUAGGCACUUGGACUCAUUGUGUAUAUAAUAAUAAUAAUAAUAAUAAUCAUGAAACUAACCAAACAUUUUUUUACUUUUAAUAUCAUUCCAAAUGCAAUAUAACUGGAUUUCUACUGCCCAUUUUUAAUUGUAAUAAAGAUUGACAUAUUUGCUGACCAGUCAAGAACAAUAUUUGGCAUCAUUGUCAAUAUUUCAGGAUGUGUGCGACUGA
Long non-coding RNA from Cottoperca gobio, 750 nucleotides. RefSeq lists it as uncharacterized. The transcript is spliced from 2 exons. NCBI's taxonomy places the organism in Eukaryota, Metazoa, Chordata, Actinopteri, Perciformes, Bovichtidae. The record is from RefSeq and is a predicted model, not a curated record.